UACGUAGGGUGCGAGCGUUGUCCGGAAUUAUUGGGCGUAAAGAGCGUGUAGGCGGCCAGGUAGGUCGGCUGUGAAAACUCGAGGCUCAACCUCGAGCUGUCGGCCGAAACCAUCUGGCUAGAGUCCGGAAGAGGAGAAUGGAAUUCCCGGUGUAGCGGUGAAAUGCGCAGAUAUCGGGAAGAACACCCGUGGCGAAGGCGGUUCUCUGGGACGGUACUGACGCUGAGACGCGAAAGCGUGGGGAGCGAACAGG
Molecule: ribosomal RNA, 253 nt
Filed under: uncultured bacterium
Lineage: Bacteria
Description: partial 16S ribosomal RNA
Rfam family: Bacterial small subunit ribosomal RNA
Source: RNAcentral